Molecule: long non-coding RNA, 33307 nt
Filed under: Populus tremula
Lineage: Eukaryota; Viridiplantae; Streptophyta; Magnoliopsida; Malpighiales; Salicaceae
Description: long non-coding RNA (PTRE_LNC001033)
Source: RNAcentral
CAUUCUGACCAGCCAACUCAAAACUUUUGAUGAGAGCCAUCAGAGCAAUAAAAUUUCUUCAGCUUCUUUCUACAAUUUUAACAGCUCUUUUCCAUUUUUCUCAAGGUGUAAUUCCAGGAACAUAAAGGGACAGCGGGCUUGGGCUUCUUUAUUUUUUCAACCAGCACAGCUUGAGUUGUUAGAACUAUCCCAGCAAUUGAGAAGAUCUUCGUAUCUACCAGUCAUUGCAUUGUAACCAAUUCUCCAGUCACAAGAUCGAAUAUUCUCCACCACAACUGCUCCAUCAAUCCCUGCAUUAGUUGCAAUUGUUUUUGCAGGUGCAAGAAGUGCCUGUAAUGCAUCAUUGGUACGUGUUACUACAUGGGAGAAGAAAUUUCCCCUUAUAGUAAUUUAGAAACCACUACUUGGAGGGUUUCUCCAUGCUACGCCCUGCAUUUAUAACCAUUUCACAAGGAUGUCCAACUGUAUCACUAAUUAUGAAAGGAACCUUGGUCCGUUUUACAAGUCUUGUGCAAUAAUCUGCUUUAGCACAAACGCUGCAUGGUAACUCAUUCACAGACGCUGCUUAUUUCUAUUUGAGACGCAACAUUCACCAAUCCAAAUAAAGAAAUGAGCAUAAAAGGCACAUCUCACAAAAGAAAAGAAAGUCACCUUAGAUCAAAUCCUAGUGAGGCGAAAGUGUGAAGAAAAUAACUUUUGAAAAAAGAAAGGAACCGAGAACAGACCUUUGCAACAAUAUCAGCACCAAUCUUCUCAUUUUCAUCUUUCAUGGAAUUUUUUAUUGAGGAGAUCUGCUCCGAGAGAUGUACAUAUGUUGCACCACCACCAGGUACUAUCCCUUCAUCCAUGGCAGCAAAUGUAGCAUUCUUUGCAUCUUCAAUUCUGAGUUUCCUAUCUUCAAGUUCUGUCUCCGUGUGUGCUCCUACCUAAAUUUGCAUGCUAAACAAGUUAAAUCUAAAGAUAACUUUAAAAUAAAACACCAUCAAACAAAAUAUUAGAGUCCUGUCGUUUGUCCUAGUAUUUCUUAAGGAAAACAGGGCAGAAAAUUCAUCCCUGCUACUGAGCUAACGCUACACAAGGAGCCUAUGUCCUUAGCAGUAAUUCUUCACACUUAUAGCCAGAUUUGUCAAGAUGCCCAUCUAUUUUUCCGAAAUAUAUUGUAUACAACUUUAGCAAUUCUUUCUGAGAGCUUGAUCACAAACCUUGAUGACAGCCACACCACCAGAUAAUUUAGCAAUUCUCUCUGAGAGCUUUCUUGAAAGGGCAGCAUUAUCUGUUUCAGCGAGGUCCUUUUUUAUCUGAAGAAUUCUUGCCUGAAUUUCAGCUUUGGUAGCUGAGUCAGCAACUAUGGUUGUUGAAUUACUUGUUAUGGUAACUUUUCGUGCAAUGCCAAGUUGAUCCGAGGUUACACUUCCGAGUGUCAGCCCAAAAUCACCAGAGAGAAAAUCAGCACCUGAUGGUUUUGGUAUGGCAUGAAUUACACAGCAUAUCAGAUGCAAUGACCUUCCUAUGAUAGUCAUAUGAGAACAGAAUACAAUCUUGCGCAAGCAUCCAAGUAAAGAAUUUAUUAUUUGUAGUGCAUAAAAAGUAAUUAUAAUUUUUUUAAUUGAGGCCUCGGUACUGAUCAAAGGAUUUUACAAUCUUAACAAAGCAUCCAAGUAAAACAUUUAUUGUUUCUAGUGCAUGAAAAAGAGUAACAGUUCUUAUAAUUGAGGAGAGUAACGAUUCUUAUACUUGAGACCUAGGUAAUUAUCAAAGGAUAUCUUAAUUAACAUGAUAUACUCAAAAGUUUAUGCACCUGCAAGGGUCAUACACAAACAUAUAAGAACAUCCAGUGCACACAUAGGAAGGCUCGCAUAUGUAACACGAACCCAACUCACGAGGAAGAUAAAUAAUUCAUUAACUGAUAUGUCAAUAUAUUUCAAUAUAGCACAACUUACAAUAACCAAUUUAAGUUGGAAAGAAAGAUGCAAGUUCACCUGUCACAAGAGGUCACAAGAGCAAUGUCUUGCAACAAUGCUUUCUUUCGAUCUCCAAAUCCGGGGCAUUUGACAACAGCAACAUUGAGCAAACCUUUCAUUUUGUUCACCACUAGUGUUUCCAAAACCAGCUUUGAGAUAUCCUCAGCAAUGAUUGACAAUGGGACACUGAGUUGGGUAGUCUUCUCCAACACAGGAACUAUUUCUUGGACAUUUGCAAUCUUCUGAUCCGUUACAAGGACUUUGGCCUUGUCAAACUCCACCAAAGAUUUUUCCUGGUUUGUGAUGAAUUGGGGUGACAUCUAACCCUUGUCAAACUGCAGAGAAAGAACACCAAACUUAACUGGAAAUGAAAACAUACAUACUUCAUAAACAGAGAAAAAGUUGAAAAAUUUAUCCACUCAUAGGAGGCAUAGUGUUUACACAAGUAUUGCUACCCUGUUACUGAAAAUACAAAAUAGUUAACCUGGAAAGUACAAAGAGCAGAAGCUCAACCAACCUAAAUAUUUACAGAUAAUGAAUGGUUUAACCAUUCAGACUAUGACUAAUGAUAAAACAUAAAAUCAUAAACUUCUAACAUAAACUUUGAUGUAAUGCCAAUUUUCCAGUGAUUUAUCUGACAAGAUUUUACACUGUGUCUGGGUGUUGGGGUGUCUGGGUGUUGGUCCUCCAUGGUUGGUGUAACAGUAUUAAAUGUGCACGCUUCGGCAGGCUGGCAAAUAACCCCGUGACAGUUGGCCUCUCAACUCUAUAUAUGUUGACCUUGUCUAAAGCAACAUUUUUGAUCCAGCCCAGCCCGUACUGGCUGGGUCAGACCUAGCACAAACAAAAAGAAAAAGAAAAAGUUGAGGCCUGGAUGGGCCUGGUCCCCAGGCCCAACCAGCCCAAUUUGUUUUGGGCUAAAGACUUGUUUAUCAAAACACAUUUUUAUAUUUUACCCCUUUUAUUUCAUCUCUUUUUAUUUUGUUAUUUAGUCAAAUAAGUCUUUUUGGAUAUCAAAAAAUUAUGAAAACCUUUGUGGUCCCUCUUGAAUUUACUUUUUAAAGAUCUACUUUUUAAUAAUUAUUUAAUUUUUUAAAAAUCAUUACGGUGUCAGGAUACAACAAUACUAAGCAGGCAGCUUGCACAGUUUGUCAACUUUCUUUAGAAAUAACAGAAUAUUAGAUGGACUUCUAUAGAUGCUGUUGGGUAAUCCGGUGGUGUUUUAGUCUUAUGGAAUGAUAACAGAAUUAUUUUUUAUUUGAAAAUAUAUUGAAAUAUUUUUUUAUUUUUUAAAAUUUAUUUUUAACAUUAGUACAUCAAAAUAAACAAAAAAAUAAUAAUUAAUUAAUACAACUAAGCUCUUGAUAAAAUUAAUUAAUACAACAUAAACAAUAUUUUUAUGAUAAACAAAAAUGAAUUAUAAUAAGUUCUUGAUGUUUUUUUAUUGGUAAUGAUAAUAAACUUCUUUCAGUUUUGACAAAUUAGUAAUACAACUAAAAAUCUUGAGGAUGUAAUAAAAACCAAACUUAUCCUAAAAGAAGUGGCCUAUAUUGCUUUCUAUAUAUUUUUUUAAAUAAUUGACAAAAUUUUCAAAUUUGAAAUUUCAUAGCGAAUGUCACCAUUGAUAAAAAGACAAGGUUUUUGUUUUUUUUUAAAAAAGAAAUUUCACUUCAAGAAGGGCAAACUACAGUACAGAACUCUAGCUACAUGCAGUUGAAUAUUCCUUCUUCUCUGUAUCUAUUCAAAAGGAAAUCUUACACACACACACAGUAAUAUCUUUAAUACUCAUUAAAAAUAAUUAAUUUCAAACAUUAAUAAAUUAUUUUUAAAAAUUUUCUUAUAAUUAACAUGCAUGGCCAAAUAAUAAAAGCAAUUAUUUUAUUUUCCAUGAAAAUUAAUUUAUUUUUCAAUAAUCCUUUUUUUAUGAAAAUAUUUUAAAACUCAACAAACGACAGGCCUAAAUUAAAAACUUUUUAUUAGGAUAAACAAAGCCAGAUAACAACAACACACAAUAUCAGUGCCUCAAAUCUUAGAAAGAGUGGUUUAUAUUGAAGAAUACUACUUCUCGAAAUAAAACAAACUGAUCGGUCACUGUUAUUUAAUAUUCCAUAUUAUCAGCUAGCUGAAUUAAUUUGAUUUAUCUAAAUGAACCGACAAAAUAAGUGAAAAGGAAAUUUUAGACAACAUAUCACGUAACAAUAGUACCUGUCCAAAAUUAUAGUACACCUCCCCAGACGCCAUUGAAUAUUCAAUCUUCUUACAUACUGAGUGGACCAUGUAACACAACAUGGAAUGUCAAGCAGCUUCGUUCUUCCAACAUGAGUGGAUCUGUUUUUUGCCAUUGAGAAAUCCGAAUGAUGCAUGCCAAGAUUGUACUUAUGCAAUCAUUUUUAAAGUGGAACUGUCAAUCCGUAGUCAGGCCCACUUUUAUGACAUAGACAGAGAAAGCCCGCAGGACCAUUUUGAGCUACCUUCACCUGUUACAUCUACUUGUCAUUUUAUAAUUAUAAUAAUUAUUUCUUUUAUAUAUAUUUAUUUAUUUGGACCACAUUGUUCUCCUUACAUAUAAUUUAAGUUUUAUUAUAGUGAAUUCUCAAAUUAAAUUUUAAAAUUAUAAUAAUUAUUAUUUUUAAUUAUAUAUUAACUUGGAUUAUCUCGAUCUUUUCCAUAAGUAACUUGAGCUAUACCUCCAUCAAUUCUCAAAUCAAAUUUUAAAAUUAUAAUAAUAAUUUUUAUAAUAUAAUUUUAGAAAUCAAUAAAUAUUUAUCAUACAAAAUCACAUAAAAAAUAAAUGAUAAAAGAAUACUUCAUUUCUAAUGAAGAUGUUGGCUGGCUGGGUGGCUUUCUCUGCCUCCAGCCCUCAACCUUUAAUUGAUCUAUUUUUCUCGAUAGGUGGCACGAGUUUUUUCAUACGGUGAACUGACUUUUUUGUAAUAUAAAAAAACAAAAUAUUAUAAGCGUAUAAAUUAAAUUUUUCAUGGGAUUUUUAAUAGUACAAGAUUUGCAAAAAUAAAGUCAUGGAUCAACAUAACUUUGGUGUGAUUAGUUUACUUUUUUCUUUUUCUCUUUUUGUGUUUUCAAUUCUUGGCUGCUAUUUUUUUUUAUAAAAGAGUUGAUUUUUUAAAAAAAUAAUUUAUGAAAUUCAUUUUUUUCACAUGUCAAUGCAUCUUCAUCAAGCGAACAUUUUUCUCAAUCCUCAAGAAAAUAAAAACAAAUCAAAUAGAAUAAAAGUUUAGACAGUUUUUUGCAAUAUUCCAUCUUCUUUGUAAUUGUAAAAAAGCAAAUAUUUACAAAAUUUCCAGCCAAGAUGUUAGAAGAAACCCCACCAAAUUUAGUAUACAUUAGGUAUUAUGGUAGUAGUUGCUUUUUAAAUUAUUUUUUGCUAGAAAAUAUAUUGAAAUAUAUUUUUAUUUUUUUAAAAUUUAUUUUUAACAUCAAUAUAUCAAAAUAAUCUAAAAACAUAAAAAAAUUAAUUAAUACAACUAAGCUCUUGAUUAUUUUUUUUGGUAAUAAAAUUAAUUAAUACAACAUAAACAAAAUUUAUUUUUUUUGUUUUCUGAUAAACAAAAAUGAAUUAUAAUAAGCUAUUGAUUUUUUUUAUUGGUAAUGAUAAUAAACUUCUUUCAGUAUUGACAAAUUAGUAAUACAACUAAGAAUCUUGAUGAAGUAAUAAAAACCACUCCCAUUAAUUUACACAAUGAACCAAACCAAACUUGUCCUAAAAGAAGUGGCCAAUGCUUUCUAUUUUCUUAAAUAAAUGACAAAAUUUCCAAAUUUGAAAUUUCAUGGCGAAUGUCACCAUUGAUAGGUGAAGCCCAAAGACAAGGUUUUUUGUUUUUUUUUUUCAAACAUACAAUUGAAUAUUUCUUGUUCUCUUAUCUAUUCGAAAGAAAAUCUUACACACAUAUACGCUCUCUUGUGGACUGAAAAGUUUUUUAAAUAUUGUAGCUACAUUUGUUUAUAUUAUCUUAUUAGUUUUAAGCCGAAAUAGUAAUAUCUUUAAUACUCAUUAAAAAUAAUCAACUUCAAACAUUAAUAAAUUAUUUUUAAAAAUUUUCUUAUAACAUGGCAAAAUAAUAAAAACAAAUAUUUUAUUUUCCAUGAAAAUAAUUUAUUUUUUAAUAAUUCUUUUUUUAUGAAAAUAUUUUAAAAACCAGCAACCGAGUCCUAAAUUAAAAACAUUUUAUUAGAAUAUUCAAAGCCAGAUACCAACAACACACAAUAUCACAGCCUCAAAUCUUAGAAAGAGUGGUUUAUAUUGAAGAAUAAAACUUAUGGAAAUAAAACAAACUGAUCAGCCACUGUUACCUAAUCUUCCAUUAUCAGCUAGCUGGAUUGAUUUGAUUGAUCGAAAUGAACCGACAAAAGAAGUGAAAAGGAAAUUUUAGGCAACAUAUCACGUAACCAUUGAAUAUUCAAUCUUCUUACUUUGACCUGUACAAACUAUAGUCUUCCCCUCGCAAGACGCAAUUAAGUUUUCUGCGUUUUGUUUGGGUUUUUAUUUUGAAAGAGCACACUUAGUGAAAAUAAUAGCAAAGGAGCGCGCAUGGAGAGAAAAAUGGGCAAACUUAAGGGCGUGUUUGAUAUUGUGAUAGCUUUUGGGGUUGUGGUUUGAAAAAAAUAGUUUAAUAAAAAGUAUUUUUUAUAAGGUUGAUUUUAAAAAAAAUUGGUGUUUGGUUAAAACUGUGGUUGAAGUUGUGGUUUUAAAAAAAGCAGUUUCUUGUAUUUGGUUAAAAAAUUAUGGUUGAAAUUGUUGUAGAAAAAAAACAGUUUUGUGUUUGGUAAAACUGUGGUUUAAAACGCACUUUUCAAAAAAAUUGAUUUUUUUUUUGCUUUGAAUGAGUAUGUUUUUUAUGUUUUCAAAUCAUUUUGAUGUGCUGAUAUCAAAAAUGAUUUUUAAAAAAUAAAAAAAAAUAUUAUUGACAUGCUUUUUUUAGUGAAAAAUACUUCGAAAAGCAACAGUAACCACACUCCCAAACACGUAACAUGGUUUGUGUUUUAUAUUUGAUUUGAAUUAAUUAAAAGGACAUAUAUAGACACAUAUAUAAUUCCAAAACAUAGGUGUUUUGUAAUUAUGAUUACAUAACAAAAUGAAAAAUCCUUAUACAUUAAUGUACUCUUUUAUUGUUCCAUCAAACUAUUUGCAAUUCCAUCGCGUACAAAAUCCAUACAUGAAGGCCUCUGUAAGCCUUGAACGGCCGAAGCCUAAACAACAUCAGGUAAAAAGAUCUGGAAUUAAAUUGGGGUUGCGAUCAUACUCAGAAAAAACUGCAUCAUCUGGCGAUCUCCUUCUAAUAUAAUUAUGUAGUGCCAUUGAUGCAACUACAAUCUCAACUUUUGUUUUGUAUGGAUAAGCAGGCAUGUUUUGCAAAAUUUUCCACCUCUGUUUCCAUACCCCAAAAGAACGUUCGAUCACGUUACGUAGUGACGAGUGUGCACGAUUAAACACUUCUUUCCGACCACUUGGUUGUCCACGACGCCUAAAUUCUUGGAAGUGAUACCUCUCGCCUUUGUAGGGACCUAAAUAUCCAUACUCGUUUGGAUAUCCAGCAUCAACCAAAUAGUAUUUUCCUAAAAAAAAUAUCAUUGUAAUUUUAAACAAAACUUUUUUUAAAAAAUUAUAUUCCUUUAAUUAUCAAAUCUUCAAUUUAGUCAAAAUCACAACCUUCCGGAGGUUUUGGAAAUUGGAUAUUGCUAUUGUCAAUAGCCUCAAGAAAAAUACACGUAUCGUGUUCAUUGUCUUCCCAUCCUGCCCACACAAACAUGAAUUGCAUGUCGAAACUACAUGCGGCCAUGACAUUUUGUGUUGGUACACCUUUUCUUCCAAUAAAUGGAAUUUGAUUUGCAGAUGGUAUGCAGGCACGAACAUGUGUUCCAUCAAUUACACUGACACAAUUCUACAAGCCACAAAAAUAUUUAGUACUCAUAAAUAUUUAUAACAUAUUUCAUACUUCUUUGAACAACUUAAUUAAACUACUUAAUUAUACAAAAAUUCAUCUUACCUUGAAAUGUGGCAUAAAUCUUGGAUUCAUAGCAAUUUCUCUUGGUGUGCUCGUAAAUUGUGGAUCUUCUGGUUUUUUGACUUCCACAACAAACAAACAUAAUGAUUUAAGCACUUCUUUAAAACAUCGACUAAUAGUUUCACCUGAAUGCUGAAAUCUUUCCUGCACUUGUCUAUUUGACGCCCCAACUGUUAUUGUAAAUAGAAACAUUGCUACCUUUUCAAUAACACUCAUUCUUCUUGACGGUUUUAAGCCAUGGUGCGUUUCUAAUUCAGUGCACAAACUCAACAAAGUGGUUGCGUCCAUCCUGAACAUGUUAACACUUCGUUUCCAAUGCCCUUUUAAAACCUCCGUCAACCAACGCAUCCCUAUGUUAUAUGAAACCAUACAUGGUUCUUUAAACAUAUAAUUAAUAUAAUACAUGUUUAUAGCUCUAGCUACGCAUAUAAUUAUUUUUUUCCUAUCAAGAUGCCUCCUUAUAAUAAAUGCAUCAUCACCAUCACUGUCAUCGUCAUCGUCAUCGUCAUUACUAUCGUCGGAGUCGUUUCCAUUACUAUCAUCUCCAACACCAUCAACUGAGGCACCACUACCUUCACAACUAGGAUAAUUAAUUUGGUCUACAAUGCGGUUCAUUAUAUUAUCAUAAUUACCAUCGAAAUCUUCAUUAAAUAUGUCAUUAAAUCGUGGAUUAGCCAUAACUUCAAUUACAUGUAAAAAAGAAAAAAAAUAUAUGUUGUUAAUAAAAAAAUUUAAAUAAUUAAAUAUCAUUCAAUAAAAAAACUAUCAAAGAGUUGGUUCAACAUAAGUUUUUUCCAUACCUGUAAAGCCAACAAAAAAGAAGUAUUCUACUUGCUUGUAUUUGGUGCAACUGAGAGGUUUGAGAAGCUUGUUAUGAAGAAAGCUAUUUCAUUGAAAAAUAUGAUGCAAACAUUCCUCUUUAUAUAGAAAAUUUCAAUGCUCUUUACGUCUAUUUUACAAAUUUUCAGCUUUCAACAUAAGUACAUUCACAUGUAUGCAUGUGCUGUAAAAGUAGCAUAUAAUGUUACCUUUACAGCUCAUAUAUGUACACCAUCCUGCCAUGGAAAAAAGUAAAAACAGAGUUCCAAGUUACUGAAGCAGUAGGAUGACCAGCAACAAAGAAAAGUAAGAAACAACAACAACAUUAGUCCCAUUACCUCACGACAACAAUGAAAAAAACACAAACAGUAACUACAAAAGGAGUUGCUUUUUCAGACCUCACAAGAUCAUAGUAGCUAGCAAAUGGAAAAAAGUAAAAACAGAGUUCCAAGUACUGAAGCAGUAGGAUGACCAACAACAAAGAAAAAGAAGAAACAACAACAACAUUAGUCCCAUCACCUCACGGCAACAAUGAAAAAAACACAAACAAUAACUGCAAAAAGGGGUUGCUUUUUCAGACCUCACAAGAUCACAGUAGCUAGCAAAUGGAAACAAUUACAGCCAAUGAAAAAAUCACCUGCAACAUGUCAAGCUCACAGUAGCUAACCAAUUGAAAAAAUUCCAGCAAAUGAAAGAAACACAGCAGCUUGUAUUAUCAAACCUCAUGGCAGCAAAGAAAAAAGGAUCAACAGUAAAGGUAAAUUAUAAACAACAAUUUGUCAUUUUUAUUUGCCUUGGUUCAUUUUUAUCCGACCUCUCCCUUCCCUUCUUUAGCAUUUGACAGUGACUCCUAAAAGGGUAAACAAUGCAGCAAAUGUCAUCUUCUUCCUCUCCUUUUGCCUUUCAAAUAUUCCCUCCUUUGGCACACAUAAAUGCCGCCUAUUGAUAAUUCAUUCUUACUCUCGACCCUCUCUCCAUCUCAUACAAAGCUUAUCUCCUGGUUUCUCCAUUCAUGUCUAAUGUUUCCAGAGUUAGAUGUAUUCCAAAUCCACACAGGACAUACAUGAGCAUCUAGCUAGCUACCUAAUGGAAACAAAUAAAGCCAAUGAUGGAAUGACCAGCAGCAUGUCAAUCUCACAGUAGCUAACCAAUUGAAAAAAUUACAGCUAAGGAAAGAAACACAGCAGCAUGUAUUAUUAUUCCCAGCAGACCUCACGGCAGCAAAUAAAAAUAUAAAGUUAACAAAACAGUUAAGGUAAUUUCGAACAACCAAUUCAUGUAAAUUAACAACCAAUUCCAUUAAAGGGUCAACCAUUUAACAUUAACCAUUGAACAUUGUAAUUCAUAGAUAAAAUACAACAUUACAACCACCAAUUUCUCAUACAAGUUUGUUAACUCCCGUAAAGUAGUUUAAUAAAUAUAACAGUACAUAAAUUACCGCAAACGCAUAUGCUCAUAUGCCUUAAAAUCAAAUGUGGAAUAAUACAAUGCCUCGAACAAACUUCGGCAAAUGGAAACUACUCUUUUAAAAACCAACAUCCCAUUACUCUGCAGCAAAAAAAUAAACAUGUAUAAAUAUCGUAAGCACUUGAACAUACUUAAUUGAUUAACAGUUAAGAUACUUAAAUCAUACCAUGUCAGCUAAGCACGUUUAGUUCGUGCAUAUAUUUGCUGCAACCAUCUCAACUUCUGUUGCUUAUCGCCCAUACUGGCCCACAUUUCUCUUUUCCUUCUUGAAAUGAGAAACUCCGUAGCAAAGUCGUGGAAGUCAUCUUCAAUUGAAACUCCAGGAAUUGAGUGCAGCUCAGCCAUCACCUCGGGGAUGCUACAACCUUUGCGAUCCAUAUUAAUAGACGUCGAAUCACUCUUAGUCGACAUACUCUCAAGAAGAUGAUUGCACCUUGUCAGCAGUUGAACACCAAUUCCAGAUGUUUUCUUCUUUCUACAUCGCACAUCGACAUGAUCUCGUUCUUUUCUUUUGCCGCUGCUUUUUGUAUUGCUGCUGCUAGACAUAUUUAUCUCUCCAACCAUUCGAGCCAUGUUAGUCUGGAAAUCUGGAAUCACAUCUUCCUUCGAAUCAUCGCUGCUUUCUUCCAAACCAUCAUCAGCAAUGUCGGCAUUGCUUGUACCAGAAUCAACACCACUGCCGGCAGGUACACCUGAUGAAGGAGCUCAUGCAAAAGCUCCAGUUGUGACAAUGUUGGAAUACAUUCGGUCAAAUUUAUUCUUCAAAGAUGACUUAAUACCGACAUGUCUGAAUUUUUUAGCUCCUCUAAUUUCCUGCAUAUAAAUUAAAUCAAGUAAUGAAGGAUCAAUACUAGUAAAAUUUUAGGGCUGGAAUUUGAUAAUAAUAAAAUAAAUUGUUAGGAUGACAAGGAAUGUACCUGAAUUUUUUGUUUCCACCACUCAUCGCUAGCUGCAAUUGUGCCUAUUUCACUAUUCCAGCCAACACCGGUUUCAAAAACCAGCUUAUUCCAUAUCCUCCAAUCCUUUUUGCAUCCAUCCCAUUUGUUUUUCAAUUGUGUUUUAUUGAAUGCAUGCCUAGUUUGUUCUUUGAAUGAUGUUAUAAGAAAUUUCCACCCUGUUUUAUCGAAAUGAGUAUUAGGUCUCAUUCCCAUAUCAAUUGUCUUAAUGCAUAUAUCACAAAAUAUAUGCAACAUGUCUUUUGUCCAAACAGCCUUAUCAAAAGAUUCAAGACCUUCCAUGAUAUCUUUUAACACAUUUUAAAAAAAAUUGAAAUCAAUAAAUGAUAUCAAAUAAAUAGUGGCACAUACAUAAACCAUGGACUAAAACAAUAAUAAAACAAUAAAUGUUUAGCACAUACAUGUAUUUGAAUGGGAAUGUUCACGUUCAUUUAUAAUGAAAUCUAAUUGCAACCCAUUAAUUUUGAACUGCUCAGAAAACUCAGUUUCAGCCAUGAUAAAAUAUUUGAAUUAUCAAGCAACACUUCAUUGCCAUCAUGCUGUUUGGAAGAAAAAAACAGAGGGAAAAAACAAAUAGAACAGAAUAUAUUUGCUAAAGUACAUAAACAAAGAACAACAGACAAGCAGUAUAUAGAAGCAAUUAAAUUUUGCUAAAUUCAAAACAAUUGAUGAAGUCACAGUAAACAGAAGACAAUCAAUAACAACUAUGAAAUUUGUCAAUUGCAGAACACACGGUAAUUGAUCAUGCAGGUACACAGACAUGCAAUUUUUCAUCUAAAAAAAUGAAAAUGAAGAUGGAGAUAAGGCAGGAACUUACCUUAGUCUAUAGGUGUCCAGACCAGCGCAGUUCUGCAACUUUGUCCUACAAACAGAUACACAAUGGAGGCCCAGAAGAUAAAUUAGAUUUUGAGCGACGAUUACUACAAAAUUGACAUGGUAUAUCAACACAGUACACAAAAGCAUCACAGAAAUGAAGGUUUUCAAUUCCAGAAUAGUUUUUGGAAGUAGUUUCGAAGAGACAUAACGUAUUUUUUAGUUUAUUUCAUGAAUGGAGAAUAAAGGACUAUGCAGCAGUUUUUCCUAGCAAUGGGAUAAGUAUGCAUGUCUGUUUGUAACUUGCAUGGACUGUGAGCAGUAAAUCUAAAUUUGUAAUCGAAACAUUUGUGCUGCAUGGCAAAAAUCAAAAUAUUUCUGUUCAAAAUAGCUUUAAAAAGUUACUAUAAAUCUAAAGGAAUCAAGCAAACACAUAUAGAAUUACUUUUUUUCCCGGUUAAUCAGACCACUGAUGGGAUUACAACAAUUUAUAAAAAAAAGCUUGUAAAGAACUCUACAGUUUCAGAUUCAACAAUAAUCAGCACUAAUGCAUUAGCCAAGGAUAACUGUUAUUUUUUAUGUUUCUCAUCAUGCACAAAACAGUAGAGUCUAGAGCCAUUUUUUAGCCUUCGAAAAAGAAGAUAGAAAAACAAAAUCUUGAAAAAAAAAAAACUAAAACCAUUCAAGCCUCAGACCAUCCUAGUUCAUGCAUUUCAACAGCUAGGCAGAUCCAUAGACCUGCUUUCAAUGGAAAAUAGUAUUGUCAUCAUAGGCUACCAGCACAAUAAUAAAAAAAAACCCAUGAAAGCUGAGACUUGAAGACAUAAAAGCAGAAAGAUAGAGAGCAUCAAAUCUUCCUAUUCAAGAAGCUAAAUCAUAAGAACCGAAACCCAAAUAAGAGGCAGAGCAUUCAACAAUUCAAAAGAUUCGUCAUUUGCCUCUCUAGAUUGAAAAAAAAAAAACCAUGAAAAUAGUAUUGUCAUCAUUGGCUGCUAGUAAUUAAAAAAAACCCAUUGAAGCCGAGACUUGAAGACAAAAGCAGAAAGAUAGAGAGCAUCAGAUCUUCCUAUUCAAGAAUCUAAUCAUAAGAACCCAAACCCAAACAAGAGUCUGAGCAUUCAACAAUUCAAAAGAUUCGUCAUUUGCCUCUCCAGAUUGAAAAAUAAAUAAAUUCAAGGAAUUGUUUAAAGCAAUGCAAUAAUUAGAAGAGGGGAAGAUAUAGGGAGUUUUUGGAGAAGGUGAACGGCGGUUUAGGGCUGAGUUUUUCAGAAAGCCAUUAGUGUGUCGUUUAUAAAGAUUUACAAAUCAAAAAUUUGUAAUCAAGCAUGCAACAGCACAAACAUGAAAUACUUCAUCUAAAAAACCAAAAAUGAAGAUGGAGAUGAGGGAGGAACUUACCUCAGUCUCUGUCUUUUGCAAACCAAAACGGUGUAGCAGCUGUGUUCUACAAAAUAAAAAACAAUAGAAACCCAUUAGAUUUUGAGACACACGUUAAACAAAAUUGACAAGGGGAAUGCACAUUACCUGGUAUCUCUUGGUUUUUUUCUGCAAUUGUAACAAUGGAGGGACAGUCGAGUGACGGUUUGUGUUUGAAUGGACAGAGGGGAAGAAGUGCUCUGGCGUUGGUGUUAGGGAAAAAUAAAAACGGGGUUAUCAAGAGAAGAGAGAGGAGAAUAGUUUGGGGAAGAAAAUUUGGGUUUUUUAGCUCGUCAAAUUGAUCUGCAACCGUAAUUUUGGAGGUUGUUUACUGGGGAAAGUUUGGUGGUGAGAGAGAGGUAAGGAACUAAAGGUUGAAAAACAUUGAUCUGUGAAAUUUUGGGUUUGUUGUAACCGUUGGAAAAUGGUUUGCAAGUUGGGAAGUAAUUGCAAAUUGAUGAAAAAAGCAAUUGUAAAUUGUCGGUGAUGAGAGAGAGUAGAAACGCAUGAAAAGCAAAUUCAUUCUGCUUUUCACGUUUUACAAUUGAACCGUGAUUUUUAAUGGGACCCACAUCAAAAUAAAUUGUGUUUUGAAGUUAACCAAACACAUGUGUUACUGCUUUUGUAUAAACUGCAACCGCAUCAGCUUAGCCAAACACCCACUAAGAUGUUGUGCUUUUGAUGUUGCGUUGUUCUAAUCGACGUAACCUCGUCAUCUUGUAGCUAGGGCCACUUUUAUGAUAUGGACAGAAAAAGCCCGCACAACAUGGAUAAUUUGGGCCACCUUCACCUGUUACAUCAACAUGUCAUUCUUAAAUUAAAAUUUAAAAUUAUAAUAAUAAUAAUUUUUUAUAUAUUGACUUGAGUUGAUCUUCCUUACAUGUGAUUUAGGCCUUCCUCUCGUUGAUCUCUUAGUUGAAUUUUAAACCUAUGAUAAUAAUUAUUUUAAUUUAUAUAUUAAGUUUGGUCAUCUUAUGUCAACCCUCUCGAUCAGUGACUUGAGUUGUGCCUCGGUCAACUCUUUAGUCGAAUUUUAAAAUUAUAAUAAUAAUUUUUAUGAUAUGAUUUUACAAGUUAAUAUAUAUUUAUCAUGCAAAAUCACGUAAAAAAUACAAAAAAUGAUAAAUAGGACUGAAAUCGUGUAAAAUCAAUAACAUAAAAAAAAGUCACGAUUUUACGAUCUUACAAAUAAUUCCAAAUUCUUAUCUUUCUCAUUGCAUAUCUUUGUGUGUUACUCGCUAAUGCACCAGCCCCACAAGCACUUGUAUCAAUGGAUUCUUUCUUUAAUUAAUAGUACAAGGAUGAAGAAAAUAUAAUCUUGCUUAAACCUUUUUUAAUAAAUAAAAAAUUGUCUAUUAUGAGACAAGAUUUUGAAUAUUCUUAUUCUAUAGGGAUAUUUUUAUAGAUAAGAGUAACAAACCAUACUCGAAAGUCUGAUCUAUUAUAUGCUUAUGCUGAAAUACCAUAAUUGUUUUAACAAGUUUACAUCAUUAUGACUUCUCUAUAGAAAAUCUCAUAAUUUGUGUAAUAUAUGAUCUAAUAAGCAACCAAACUUCAAGAUUUUAAAAAAGAAAUAUCUAACUUUGAAUUGUUUGAUUCUUUCAUUUUAGUUCAUACAAAGCAUAAAACUCCUUAUUGAUCUACUCGUUGAAAUUUAUGGUAUGUAACAAAUAAUAUCUGAAACUUAUGAAAAUUUAUUAAUAUCUAAAAGAAAGCAUAAUGCGUUUUUGUCUCUACUGUCUUCAUCUUUUUUGUUACAUAACAGUAACAAAACACUAUCUUUUUACUGUUAAAUUACGUUUUAUUAGGAUAAGAAAAUUUAUGUUUGUUAUUUAACAAGUAUAUUUAUGUUUGUUAUUUGAUAAAUAUAAUUAUAUUUCUUAAUUUGAAUUAUUAUGUAGGGGUAUGACAUUAAAAUUUAAAAUUUAUGCAUGAGUAUGUUUGAUGUAAAGUGUUUAUAUUUAUUUUCUAAUGCUUAAAGGAUAUAAAAGGAUAAUUGCCUAAACCCCACUGUAAAAACAAUUGUCAUACAAAAAAUCCCAAACAUCUAACUCUUAAUCCAUUAACUAAUUUGUCAUUUUCAAUAUAUAUAAAAAAUUAUUUUAAGGUUUUAAAAAUAUCAAUAAAUUUUACUUAAUAAGCUUAUAUGUCAAUAAUAUUAUAUUUAAAAUAUUGAUAAUAUAUGUAUAGUUGCAUUUUAUAAAACUAAUGUUCUAUAUAUAUUAGGUAAACUUGAAAAAAAUAUAUUAAUAUUUUUUAUGAUAUAGAAAAAACAAUAAAAAGUGGUUUUUUAAUUUAUUUUUCUAAAAUGUAGGUUUCAAUAAAAUCACUUUUAAAACCGGCUAAUGAGGCCUAAAUCAAUUUUUUUUAUUAGGAUAUACAGAAUCAAAUGCCAACACACAACACCAGGGUCUCACAUCAUAGAUUUUUAGAAUGAGUGGUUUAUAUUAAAGAAUAAAAUUUCAGGAAACAAAACAAAUUAUAGAUUGGUCUAAAUUAAUUAGAAAUUUCCAGCUUGUCUCCUCAGUUGCUUGCAUUUGAAGUCAUGAAUACUCUGAUUUUUCAAGAUUACUUCUCAAUAUCUUACUUACCUUAAUUGAUCUUCUAGCGAAAGGAUACUUCAUUUCUAACGAAGAUGCUGACUGGUUGGGUGGCUUCCUCUGCCUCCAGCCCUCCACCUUUAAUUGAUAUAUCUUCAUCGAUAGGUGGCACGCGUUUCUCCACAAGGUGAACUGAUUUUUUUGUAACAUAUAAAAAAAUGAUGUUAAAACACUGUCAAUAUAUUUUUAAUAAAGAAAAUUCAUGAGUUAACAUUAUAAAAAGAAAAUAAAAAAUUUGAUUGAUUUGGUUAAUUCAUUAACUAUUUUCUUAUAUUUUUAUUUUUUUAAAUGAUUACGUUUUAACCUUCAUUAUAAAAUAAAAAGAUUUGAUUGACUUGGAUUAACUCAAGUUAACCCACUUGACUUGUGACUCGGUACUUGCCUCAAAUCGACUCUCGAGCCGAGUCUAAAAGCUUUGAGAAACAUCAUUAAGACCAGUUCCCUAAUUAAUUAAUAAAAUGUUGACUGAUGAAAUAAAUAAAAAUUUAAUUAUAUAAAAUGAUAAAAAAAUAACAAUUAAAAAAAAAAAAAAACCUAAUUUGAAAAAAAAAAACAACAUGACAACCUAAAUUUUUUAAUUAAGGGGUAAAAUUAAAAAUAAAAAUCAAAUUAAUAAAAGAAUCCAAAAAAAAAAAUCAAGAGAUUGAGUACCAAAUUUGAAAAAAAAAUCAAGAUUAGGACACAAAGAUAAAAUUAAAAACAAACUAAGAUUUGAUAAAAAAAAUCAAAAUUAAUAUCGUCAAAUUUUUCAAAAUCAAAAUCCAUCUCCACCGAAUCUUACUCGUGCAUUUAUAAUGAAACAAAAUCUAUCAUUUCUUUCCCAUAUAUAUACGUAUGCGGGGCAAAUCAUUUUAUACAUCCUUUUUAAGAAAUUAAACAACCAAGGCCAUGGCUUCCCACAUCUUUCUCUUUUCCACAACUUUUUUGGUUUUUUCCUUACUUGCUUAUGCUCCCUUCUUUGCUUCUUUUGCUUACUCGGCUAGUACUGGAGCUGCUGAAUUAGCAAAUGGAAGGAAGGAAGCGGAAGCUCUUUUAGAAUGGAAAGUCACUCUUGACAACCAAAGCCAGUCUCUCCUGUCUUCUUGGGCUGGAGACAGCCCUUGCAACUGGUUCGGAAUCAGCUGCAACAAGCCUGGUAGUGUCAUCAACAUAAGUCUGCCCAAUUCUAGUUUGAGAGGUACGCUUAAUAGCCUCCGAUUCUCUUCCUUUCCUAACUUGAUUGAGCUUAUCCUUCACAACAACUCCCUCUAUGGGUCAAUUCCUUCACAUGUAGGCACCCUUUCUAACCUCGCCAUCCUUAACUUGUCUUCCAAUAACCUUUCUGGCAACAUUCCACCAGAAAUUGAAAAUUUAGUAUCUCUCACUAUUUUAGAUUUGUCCUCUAAUAAACUAAAUGGUACAAUACCGGUAUUUUUAGAAAAUUUAAGAAGCUUAUCUAUUCUUUAUCUUUGGAAUAAUAGUCUUUCUGGUCCCAUUACUUUUAUUAGAAACCUGACGAGAUCUCUCACCAUUUUAGCUCUGUCAUAUAAUAAACUAACCGGUACAAUACCGAUAUCUUUAAAAAAUUUAAGAAACUUAUCUCAACUCUACCUUGGGGUUAAAAAUAUUUUUGGUCCCAUUCCAUUGGAAAUUGGAAAUUUAGAAUUUCUCACUAUUUUAGAUUUGUCGUAUAAUAAACUAACCGGUACAAUACCAGUAACUUUAGGAAAUUUAGAAUCUCUCACUAUUUUAGAUUUGUCGUAUAAUAAACUAACCGGUACAAUACUAGUAACUUUAGGAAAUUUAAGAAGCUUAUCUGAACUUAAUCUUUGCAAUAAUAGUCUUUUUGGUCCCAUUACUUUUAUCAGAAACCUGACGAGAUCUCUCACCAUUUUAUUUCUGUCAUAUAAUAAACUAAGUGGUACAAUACCGACAUCUUUAGAAAAUUUAAGAAACUUAUCUCAACUUUGCCUUGGGGUUAACAAUCUUUUUGGUCCCAUUCCACCAGAAAUUGGAAAGUUAGAAUCUCUUACUAUUUUAUCUUUGUCGUAUAAUAAACUAACCGGUAUAAUACCAGCAUCUUUAGGAAAUUUAAGAAGCUUAUCUGAACUUCACCUUAACAAUAACUGUUUUUUUGGUCCCAUUACUGUUAUUGAAAAUAUGACGAGAUCUCUCACUAUUUUAGAUUUAUCAUAUAAUAAAUUAAUUGGUACAAUACCGACAUCUUUAGAAAAUUUAAGAAGCUUAUCUAUACUUCACCUUGCGAAAAACAGUCUUUUUGGUCCCUUUCCUCCAGAAAUGAACAACCUUACACAUUUGUCUAUGUUACAAAUAUAUUCUAAUAGAUUUUAUGGAAAUCUACCACGAGAUGUGUGCCUUGGUGGAUUGCUUAGAUUUUUUUCUGCACAUCAAAAUUAUUUCACGGGACCUAUCCCAAAAAGCUUGAGAAACUGCAGCAGCUUGUUGAGACUCAGACUUGAGGGAAACCAACUUAGUGGAAACAUAUCUGAAGCUUUUGGCACACAUCCUCAUUUGUCCUACAUGGAUUUGAGUGAUAAUGAAUUGCAUGGUGAACUUUCAUGGAAAUGGGAGCAGUUUAACAAUUUGACAACCUUCAGAAUUUCUGGAAACAAAAUAUCUGGAGAAAUACCAGCUGCACUUGGAAAGGCAACUCAUCUACAAGCUCUUGACCUCUCGUCAAAUCAACUAGUUGGAGAAUUCCAAAAGAAUUGGGAAAUUUAAAGUUGAUUCAACUUGCACUCAACGAUAACAAACUUUCAGGUGAUAUUCCUUUCGAUGUCGCAGCGCUAUCUGAUCUGGAAAGGCUUGGCCUGGCCGCGAACAAUUUUAGGCAACAAUUCUUAAACAGCUUGGCAACUGUCAAAACUGAUAUUCUUGAAUAUCAGCAAGAAUAGAAUGACAGGGAAUAUUCCUGCUGAGAUGGGGUCUUUACAGUCUCUUGAAAGUCUUGAUCUCAGUUGGAAUUCCCUCAUGGGAGAUAUAGCGCCAGAGCUUGGACAGCUGCAGCGGCUAGAGGUAUUAAACCUCUCCCAUAAUAUGCUGUCUGGUCUCAUUCCAACCAGUUUUAGUAGACUGCAAGCCCUCACUAAAGUGGAUGUAUCCUAUAACAAGCUAGAGGGUCCCAUUCCUGACAUCAAAGCCUUUCGCGAGGCACCAUUUGAAGCAAUUCGCAACAACACCAACCUGUGUGGCAAUGCUACUGGUUUGGAGGCUUGUGCUGCUCUCAUGAAAAACAAAACUGUGCACAAGAAGGGCCCCGAAGUUGUCUUUAUGACUGUAUUUUCUCUGCUGGGUAGUUUGUUGGGCCUGAUUGUAGGUUUCUUAUCUUUUUCCAAAGCAGAAGAAAGAAAAGGUUAGUGGAAACACCACAAGAGAUGUUCCGCGAGAUGGUGCCCUGGUGGGGAUCUGCGCUACGAGGACAUCAUUGAGGCUACUGAGGAAUUCGACUCCAAAUAUUGCAUUGGUACUGGAGGGUAUGGAGUUUUACAAAGCUGUACUUCCAUCAGAACAAGUCCUUGCCGUGAAGAAAUUCACCAAACACCAGAAGUUGAGAUGAGCAGCUUGAAAGCUUUUAGAAGCGAGAUUGAUGUCUUAAUGGGUAUACGGCAUCGAAACAUUGUGAAGCUGUAUGGUUUCUGCUCGCAUGCCAAACACUCAUUUUUGGUAUAUGAAUUUGUGGAAAGGGGAAGUUUAAGAAAGGUACUGAACGACGAGGAACAAGCAGGAAAGAUGGAUUGGGAUAAAAGGAUGAAUCUUAUCAAAGGCGUAGCCAAUGCUUUAUCCUACAUGCACCAUGACUGCUCCCCUCCGAUUAUUCAUAGAGACAUUUCCAGCAACAAUGUUCUUUUGGAUUCAGAAUAUGAGGCUCAUGUCUCUGACUUCGGCACAGCCAGGCUCCUCAUGCCUGACUCGUCCAAUUGGACGUCAUUUGCUGGCACCUUUGGGUACACAGCUCCAGGUAUGUAGUUAAGUUUCAAUAUCACCUUCUACAGUAGGUUAGCUUACAAAAUCACUUGAAAACAAAUAUAUAGCAUGACCAGCCUCUUUAAUUUGCAGAGUUGGCAUACACAAUGAAAGUGGAUGAAAAAUGUGAUGUGUAUAGCUUUGGAGUAUUAACAUUGGAAGUAAUGAUGGGAAAGCAUCCUGGCGAUUUCAUCUCAUCUCUGAUGUUUUCUGCCUCCACCUCCUCAUCAUCACCAAUUGGUCACAAUACAGUCUUGAAGGAUGUCUUAGACCAGCGCCUCCCACCUCCUGAAAACGAGCUUGCGGACGGUGUGGCACAUGUUGCAAAACUGGCGUUUGCUUGCUUGCAGACCGAUCCCCACUAUCGGCCAACAAUGCGACAAGUUUCUACAGAGCUUACAACUCGAUGGCCACCAUUGCCAAAGCUAUUCUCCACGAUGGAAUUGGAAGAUAUAAUGGUUCACAGAAAUGUUAUUGGCUGAAUUUUUACAGUAUACUUUCCUGUCAAGGAGCCAGUAGCUCAGCUGGUAAUAGAGUCCCCGUCCUCUCAAGAGGUGUUAUUGUCAGUCCAAAGUCUUACAUUUCGUCUAUUUCUUCGCCUACUGCUUGUGUAUAUUAAAUGCAAGAAACAGAGUUUUCUCAUUUCGAACUUAAAUUCGCCAGAUGAAAUAUUUCACAUAUUUUUAGUUUUCGUGAGCAACAAUGGAAGAAAUCAACAUAUUUUCUCCUCUUUUUUUUUUUGUUUUCCAAUAAACGAAAAUGAAUUAUAAUAAGCUAUUGGUUAUAUUUAUUUUUAAUUGGUAAUGAUAAUAAGCUUCUUUCAAUAUAGCCAUAUUAGUAAUAUAAUUAAAAAUCUUGACGAUUUAAUAAAAACCACUCCCAUUAAUUUCCACAAUCAAACAAAACUUGUUCUAAAAGAAGUGGCCAAUGCUUUCUAUUUUUUUAAAUAAUUGACAAAUUUUCCAAAUUUGAGAUUUCAUGUGAAGCCCAAAGACAAGGAUUUUUUAUUUUUUAUUUUCUCAAAGGAAACUUCCCUUCAAGAAUGGCAAACUUCGUACAGUUGUCGUGUCAUUACUAUUCAAAAGGAAAUUCUGGACUGAAAAAGACAACCAGAACCAUAGCAUCAUUACCUAAGAAACUUGUCCCUGCUAAUCAGAUUCUUCUCGCAAGCAGGUGGCAAAACUAAAUUUAAUUAUCUACUAUUCAUAAAUAAUAAAUAAUUUAAUUAUAUUUAUCAUAUAUUUUAAAAUAUUGUAAUAUCUAUUAUAACUAUAUUUAUUUAUAUCAUCUUUAUUAUUUUUAAACAGAAAUAGUGAUAUCUUUUACACAUUAAAAAUACCUAACUCAAAUUCUAUAAAUUUUAAUAGCUUUUCAACUUUAUAACCGGAGCUUAAGAUUUUUUAUUGAUUAAAAUUUAAAAUUGUUUAUUAUAAAAAUAAAAUAAAAAAAAAAGUAAUAAAAAAUAAAUACUGUAUUUAUUAUCCAGAAUUUGAGACCAUUGACUGUGACAUUAGUAAGUUAGUAACCUUUGUUCUUGCAUUGGUGAUGGGCUUGAGGGUGAAUGUGACAUUAAUAAUUGAUUAAAUUGGAAAAAAAAAGAGGACUGUUUUGUAAAUGGUGCCGAAAUUCAAGGGUUCAAUUGCAAUUUGAUCCAGGUGUAAAAUGAAAAAAAGGGGGAUUUUCCAUGAUUAGGGGCCUAAUUGCUAAAUUUCAGAAUAUCAGGGGUCAAAUUGAAAAUAACCAUUUUGGACUAAACGACGCCGUUUCGUGUCCAAUAUUCAUCACCUUCUUCGUGGAUUAAUUCAGCAGAAAGGAAACUGCCUCAAACCGGUUGCAAUCAUGUACCACGUCUCCUACACGAUGCAUCUCCAAAUAUGCCUCACCCCCAUGAUCAUUGUCUGGGCAGAAAGAGAGGACAUUCAGAGAAAAGACCACAAAAAAGGGGGCGCCGAGCUUUCUGGACGGGGGAGAGACGGUAGAAAAAAACGAAAAAACCAGAGGAGGAGAGAACGAACAGGGGGGGGGUUUCGGAAGCUGAGAAAAAUCACAGAAAACACAGAGAGAACACAAACAGAGGAGGAAAAAAACCAGAGAACAGGGAUGUAAACAGAGGACAGACGAAAACAAAAGAAAGGGAAUAAAGGCCAGAGAGAAAGACCAGAACAGGUGUGACGAUUCAACAGGAUUAAGAACAACUGAAUUUUAUUCCAAGUGAAUACUGUCACUUUUACAAAAGCUUUAAGUGCCAAAAAGAGUAAUACAAGGUAUAUUUGAUGAUCAAAUUAGUUUCAAUGACUGAAAAUAAAUUGAAAUUAAACUUGACUAGGAUGAGAGCAAAUUCACCCGAAUUUCUCUCUUUUCACACACACAAAGUGUAUUGUUCUUCUUCUCUAGUUUUUCAUUCGGUUACAGUGCAUUAUAUGCAUGCAAGGUGCUCGUCCGUAAUUGCAAUAAAAGACUUUACAAGUUUCUUACACGUGUCUAUUGACACGUUACUAAUUGAAAAAUGAAACGGCGCGUUUGUGAAUUGAACUCUUUUCUCGCUAUGGCUCUGUUCAAAUCUAUUCCCCUGUUUCUUCAAGAUUCAUCGUUAGAAGAGUUACUGUUGGCAGCAUGUAACAACAGGAGGACACAACUCGAGGGGACGAACAGCACAGGGGAGACCUGGAAACGCAAACAGAGGCGAUCGAACAGAAACAAACCAGGAAAUAAAGAACAAAGAAAGCAAAAGAAAAGCAAGAAGAGGGGAGGGUAACAGAAGCAGAAGGGAGGGUAACAUCAGCUAGAAAGAACAAGCCUCCAUCAGUGGAGGGUAAUAGAAACUGUGAACAAGGAAUUUGAAAAUUGGACUGCAAAUCAGUAGCGGUCCGGAGACUCUAUUUCGGGUAUGGUUUUUUCUCAUAUCGUUUUAAACAAGAAAAUCUACUUUUGGAAUUGUUUUUGUUUGGGUAUGCUAGCUAAACGUCAAGCUAUUAAAAAGAUGCUUAUUCACCAUGAGAUUGAUGUUUGUUUUCUACUUGAGACUAAGCGGGCAGCCUGCACAGAUAAAUUUUGUCAACUUUCUGUGGAAUGAACAGAAUAUUAGAUGGACUUCUAUAGAUGCUUUUGGGAAAUCCGGUGGUGUUUUCGUCUUAUGGAAUGAUAAGACAUAGAAUAUGGGGGACAGUGGAUUGCUAUCUUUGGUGUUCAUUCUUCUUCAGAUUUUGCUUGUGCCGUAGUGGGAGUCUAUGCAGCUAGUUCAGUUUUUGAACGACGAACUUCCUAGAAUGAGCUUACCAUGCUAAAAUCAGCCUUUGAAGUGCCCAUGUUCUUAGUAGGGGACUUUAAUGAGACCUUACACCCAAGUGAAAGGAGUAGUGGGUUCUUAAAUGUUACUGGUUCAAAGGCCUUCGAGUCUUUUCUCUCUAAUUGCGACUUCAUUGAGUAUCCUCUUGCUGGGCAUCGUUAUACAUGGUUUUGGGGCAGAUCAAUGAGCAGAAUAGACAGAAGUCUUGCAUCUCCAUCUUGUCUCUUGCAAUUUCCUUUACUGUCUUUGACUAUAUACCCCUAGAGGACUGUCCGGUCCCUGUCAUUUAGUUCUUGGCCAGAUUCGUGAGAAUUGGGGGUGGAGGCCAUUUUGUUUUAUGAAUUGUUGGACUGUCUUGCCACGAUUCAUGAAAGAUCUGGAGACUUUCUGGAGAGAAUGCGAGCUAAAACAUCCUGGAAAUUUCGCACUGGUUAAGAAAUUGAGUUUGUUGGCACAUAAAUUUCGAACCUGGAACCAUGAUGUCUUUGGUAAUCAGGAUAGCAGGCUUCGGGAAUUGCAGGAUAAAAUACAUAAGUUGGAAGAAGAAAUGGAGGUCCGUGACCUAUCAGAAACUGAGAGGAUCGAAUUAUAUGCCUUAACAAACAAACAACAAUGGGAUGUUAGCAAACAUGUUGAAGCUAUUUGGAGGCAAAAAUAAAGACAGAACUGGUGUAAAUUAGGGGACAGGAAUACAAAGUUCUUCCAUCUAGCUGCAAAAGUGAGGACAUCUCGAGAUUAUAUUACGAAGAUAACUCACGAUGGGAUCACCCAUAACACACCGCAAGGAAUUAAAAAUGCUGUUGUUUCAUUCUUUUCUAUGUUAUUCUCUAAACCCAAGACAGCAAGGGUUUCAAUGGGAGCCAUGGGUUAAAGACACUAUCUAUAGAGCAAUCCAUUUGGCCUGAGAAGGAUGCAACUACAGAGGAGGCAAAGCAAGCUGUUUGGGACUAUGAUGGGUCAAAGGUUUCAAGACCAGAUGGAUUUACUUUUACUUUCUCAUGUAACUAUCUAGAAAAAUAAAUUUUCACAGUAUAGACCAAUUAGUCUGUGCAUGUUUUAUACAAAAUUAUAUACACAUGCAGGGCAAAUCAUUUUUUAUAUAUCCUCCAUAAGAAAUUAAACCACCAAGGCCAUGGCUUCCCAAAUCUUGCUCUCAUCCAUACCUUUUGCUUACCCACGUUAAUUCAAAAAAAAAAAAAAAGAGUUUUCCCAUUUCGAACUUAAAUUCGCCAGAUGAAAUAUUUCACAACGGAAGAAAUCAACAUAUUUUCUCCUUUUUUCUGUUUUCCAAUAAACGAAAAUGAAUUAUAAUAAGCUCUUGAUUUUAUUUAUUUUUAAUUGGUAAUGAUAAUAAGCUUCUUUCAACAUUGCCAUAUUAGUACAACAACUAAAACUCUUGCUCUCAUCCAUACCUUUGUUGUUUAUUUCUUUACUUGCUUAUGCUUCCUUCCUUCCUUCUUUUGCUUACUCAGCUACUGGAGCUGAAGUAGCAAAUGGAAGGAAACAAGCAGAAGAUCUUCUAAGAUAUUAAAACGGGAAAAUCUAUUAAAUAAUAAAUUCUUGUUUCUUAUUCGAAACAAGAAUGCCUUGUUUUUUUUUUUUUUGGAAAAAAUAUUUUUUUCAAAAACAUGAAGAAAAAUAAACACGCGAUUCACAUCCAAGUCAAGGACCGACAGUAUGCAAAUAGUCUUCAUCUCUUAAUAAUCAGGAGUCAUGGAAUGGUGGGGUACAAGCUAGCUAUUAUUAAUUGUAAAGUUCGGAUUUGCACAUCGUAGAUAAAACCUAAAAUAAUUCGGGUAAUUAAGGGAGAGAGAUAGAGUUAGAUUUGUUGUUUAACACAAGCAAUGAAAAACUAGGAGAAAAAACAAGAAAAAUAUAUAAAAAUGCUUGAAGGAUGAUCACCCAAUGCAGGGUUUAGUAUUUUUUUUUUAAUCAUGGAAUAUAAUCAUCUUAUUAUAAAAGCACAUAAUGGUGCAAAAUAAUAUAUCUCUUUUUAUGCAACUUCGUCCAAUAAUCAUUUAAUUUGACCUUCGAAUUUGCAUUUUUUCUAUUCUUGAGCAUAAUGGGGUACAAUUAGGCCUUGAAAUUCCUCCAAAAAUUAUAGCUUGAUUUUUGUCUAUUUUUGCAGUUUUUUUUUAUCACCUUUCUCCACAUUGCUAGCUUUUAUUUUAUUUUUUGAUUUUUAUUUUAAAAAAAAAAGUGAAUUUUGAGGAAUAAUCCAAAAUUGGGUUAUGACAGCUUCCAUUGUCAAAGCCAUUUUCCAUGGCAGAAUUGAAAGAUGUGAUGAUUCACUCCCUUCAGUAAUAUUUGAAGACUGUUUAUAUAGCAGAUAUACUAAUAUUUGAAGACUGUUUAUAUAGCAGAUAUACUAACAGAAAAACCUCAAGUAAAAUCUUCAACAAGUCACUUGACAAGUUGAGUGUUGAAAAUCAAUGAAAAUGAAUAUACACACAAAGGAAAAUCGAUGAAAAGUAUUGCAUCGUUACUCACUGAUCCUUACGCAAAGCUGAAUAUGAAACUUAUUAAUUUUGCAGAAUAAUUAUCAUAUGAUGUUCAGCAGCAUGUCUAAGAAAAUUGCCCUAAUGUAAAAAAAAUAAAAAGAAGAAGAAAGAAAUAAUAAUAAAAUAAAAAGAAGAAGAAAGAAAUAAUAAUAAAAUACAUUGAUUCCUCUAUUUUUUUGGACAAAUUGAACCCAAUACACCUAAUAAAAUUCUAUCGUUGGGUCAACAAGUCAACUGAUUGACCAAGCUUAAGUCUAAAGAUAGCUGAAUCCUUUGAUAUUUUAAUAGGAAAGUCACGGUGAGAGAAGAAAAAGAGAAAAGAGAGACAACAAUGUUCCGACAACCUUUUCUUUAAAUACCUAGAUUAAUUAGGUUGGAUUUGUGCUAAAUUUUUGCCUUGGAUCUGAUGGGACAAAACAUGGGUCUCACAAUUAUGGUAAUUACAUGUGAAUGCGAAUGAAGCUGAAAAUGUGAAACACGAGAAAGCUGUAGAUUCCAGAAUUCGUGAAAAACAUACAUUGGUUGACUUAACGUUAUGAGCUUUUGAGAUUUCACAUGAAUGGAAGACCAUAGUUAGGGAACUUAAUUGAAAAAAAGUAAAGCUUCUUUUUGACCAUCCAAUAUUUUUUGAGACAUGAAAACUAGAAAAGCCUAAUAAUAAUAAAUAAAAUAAAUGAAUAUUUCUUUACUUGCUUAUGCUCUCAUCCAUACCUUUGUUGUUUAUUUCUUUACUUGCUUAAGCUUCCUUCUUUACUUCUUUUGCCUACUCAGCUACUGGAGCUGAAGUAGCAAAUGGAAGGAAACAGGCAAAAGCUCUUCUAAGAUAUUAAAACGGAAAAAUCUAUUAAAUAAUAAAUUCUUGUUUCUUAUUCGAAACAAGAAUGCCUUUUUUUUUUUUCAAAAACAUGAAGAAAAAUAAACAUGCUAUUCACAUCCAAGUCAAGGACCGACAGUAUACAAAUAAUCUUCAUAUCUUAAUAAUCAGGAGUCAUGGAAUUGGGGGGUACAAGCUAGCUAUUAUUAAUUGUAAAGUUCGGAUUUCACAUCAUAGAUAAAACCUAAAAUAAUUCGAGUAAUUAAGGGAGAGAGAUAGAGUUAGAUUUGUUGUUUAACAAAAGCAAUGAAAAACUAGGAGAAAAAACAAGAAAAAAAUAUAAAAAUGCUUGAAGGAUGAUCACCCAAUGCAGGGUUUAGUAUUUUUUUAAUCAUGGAAUAUAAUAAUCUUAUUAUAUAAGCACAUAAUGGUGAAAAAUAAUAUAUCUCUUGUAUUUCAUAAAAAAAAAAUCAACCGAGAAUUAAUGGAUCCAUAGCUAGCUGAAACCCCAACAUAAAUAUUCUAAUAAUUAAUUAUGACAAAUACACGUGCUCCUCCUAUCACGCAAUUAUUGAAUGGAAGACCAUAAUAUUCUACACCUCUUCAGACGCAAUUGUUUUUAUUAAAAGAUUAUUACUAUAAAAAACAUAGAAAAGUAACCUGCAUUGUUUCUAUAAAAAAAUAAAUAACAAAAGCAUAACAGACCAAAGAAUGUUGUUCCACACUUGAAAGCUUAAGUUUCGAUUCAUUUGAUUGAUAUAACAAAAGCAUUAACCACGUGAAUGUUGGUACACUCGAAAUUUCAUGGGAAACAUCACCGUAGGUCCAUAGCUGAAGCCCGAAGACAUCCAAUCAAGAAUGGAAGACGUACUUAAUUUCAAGACCUGUAAAAUUAGUCGAGAUACGCGCAAGUUAGCUGGAUACCACAUUAAUUUAAAAAAAAAAAAAAAAUGGAAGACGUCCAGCUGUCUAUCUUCUUAAGAAAUCUUCGAUCAUGACCGAGACAAAUGAAUUCCUGCAUAUAUAUACGCAUGCAGGGCAAAUCAUUUUAUACAUCCUUCUUAAGAAAGUAAUCCACCAAGGCCAUGGCUUCCCACAUCUUUCUCUUUUCCACACCUUUUUUGGUUUUUUCCUUACUUGCUUAUGCUUCCUUCUUUGCUUCUUUUGCUUACUCGGCUAGUACCGGAGCUGCUGAAGUUGCAAAUGGAAGGAAGGAAGCGGAAGCUCUUCUAGAAUGGAAAGUCACUCUUGACAACCGAAGCCAGUCUCUCCUGUCUUCUUGGGCUGGAGACAGCCCUUGCAACUGGUUCGGAAUCAGCUGCAACAAGUCUGGUAGUGUCAGCAACAUAAGUCUGCCCAAUUCUAGUUUGAGAGGUACGCUUAAUAGUCUCAGAUUCUCUUCCUUUCCUAACUUGAUUGAGCUUAUCCUUCAGAACAACUCGCUCUAUGGGUCCAUUCCUUCACAUAUAGGUAACCUUUCUAACCUCUCCAUCCUUGACUUGUCUUUCAAUAGCAUUUCUGGCAACAUUCCACCAGAAAUUGGAAAUUUAGAAUCUCUCACUAUUUUAGCUUUGUUAUUUAAUAAACUAAGUGGUACAAUACCGAUAUCUUUAGAAAAUUUAAAAAGUUUAUCUCAACUUUACCUUAAUCAUAAUAAUCUUUCUGGUCCGAUUACUUUUAUUGGAAACCUGACGAGAUCUCUCACUCAUUUAAUUUUCUCAUCUAAUAAAUUAACCGGUACAAUACCAGCAUCUUUAGAAAAUUUAAGAAACUUAUCUGAACUUUACCUUUAUAAUAAUAGUCUUUCUAGUUCCAUUACUUAUAUCGGAAACCUGACAGGACCUCUCACUAUUUUAGAGUUGUCAUAUAAUAAACUAACCGGUACAAUACCGUCAUCUUUAACAAAUUUAAAAAGCUUAUUUGCACUUUUCCUUGCGGGUAAUAAACUAACUGGUACAAUACCAAGGUCUUUAGGAAAUUUAACAAGCUUAAGCAUCCUUUCCCUUGCCGAUAACAAUCUUUGUGGUCCGAUUCCUCCAGAAAUGAACAACCUUACACAUUUGUAUGGGUUACAAAUAAUUUCUAAUAGAUUGUCUGGUAAUCUACCACGAGAUGUGUGCCUUGGUGGAUUACUUUCAUAUUUUGGUGCGUUUGACAAUUAUUUCACGGGACCUAUCCCGAAAAGCUUGAAAAAUUGCAGCAGCUUGGUGAGACUCAGACUUGAGAGAAACCAACUUAGUGGAAACAUAUCUGAAGCUUUUGGCACACAUCCUCAUUUGAACUACAUGGAUUUGAGUGAUAAUGAAUUGCAUGGUGAACUUUCAUUGAAAUGGGAGCAGUUUAACAAUCUGACAGCCUUCAAAUUUCUGGUAACAAGAUUUCUGGAGAGAUACCAGCAGCUCUUGGAAAGGCAACUCAUCUACAAGUUCUUGACCUGUCGUCAAAUCAACUAGUUGGGAGAAUUCCCAAAGAAUUGGGAAAUUUGAAGUUGAUUGAACUUGCACUCAACGAUAACAGACUUUCAGGUGAUAUUCCUUUCGAUGUCGCAUCGCUAUCUGAUCUCGAAAAGCUUGGCCUGGCCGCGAACAAUUUUAGUGCAACAAUUCUUAAACAGCUUGGCAAGUGCUCAAAACUGAUAUUCUUGAAUAUGAGCAAGAAUAGAUUCGCAGGGAGUAUUCCUGCUGAGAUGGGGUCUUUACAGUCUCUUCAAAGUCUUGAUCUCAGUUGGAAUUCCCUCAUGGGAGGUAUAGCACCGGAGCUUGGACAGAUGCAGCAGCUAGAGGUAUUAAACCUCUCCCAUAAUAUGCUGUCUGGUCUAAUUCCAACCAGUUUUAGUAGACUGCAAGGCCUCACUAAAGUGGAUGUAUCCUAUAACAAGCUAGAGGGCCCCAUUCCUGACAUCAAAGCCUUUCGCGAGGCACCAUUUGAAGCAAUUCGCAACAACACCAACCUGUGUGGCAAUGCAACUGGUUUGGAGGCUUGUUCUGCUCUCAUGAAAAACAAAACUGUGAACAAGAAGGGCCCCAAAGUUGUCUUUUUGACAGUAUUCUCUCUGCUGGGUAGUUUGUUGGGCCUGAUUGCAGGUUUUCUUAUCUUUUUCCAAAGCAGAAGAAAGAAAAGGUUAGUGGAAACACCACAAAGAGAUGUUACCGCGAGAUGGUGCCCUGGUGGGGAUCUGCGCUACGAGGACAUCAUUGAGGCUACUGAGGAAUUCGACUCCAAAUAUUGCAUUGGUACUGGAGGGUAUGGAGUUGUAUACAAAGCUGUACUUCCAUCAGAACAAGUCCUUGCCGUGAAGAAAUUCCACCAAACACCAGAAGUUGAGAUGAGCAGCUUGAAAGCUUUUAGAAGCGAGAUUGAUGUCUUAAUGGGUAUACGGCAUCGGAAUAUUGUGAAGCUGUAUGGUUUCUGCUCGCAUGCCAAACACUCAUUUUUGGUAUAUGAAUUUGUGGAAAGGGGAAGUUUAAGAAAGGUACUGAACGACAAGGAACAAGCAGGAAAGAUGGAUUGGGAUAAAAGGAUGAAUCUUAUCAAAGGCGUAGCCAAUGCUUUAUCCUACAUGCACCAUGACUGCUCCCCUCCGAUUAUUCAUAGAGACAUUUCCAGCAACAAUGUUCUUUUGGAUUCAGAAUAUGAGGCUCAUGUCUCUGACUUCGGCACAGCCAGGCUCUUAAUGCCUGACUCGUCCAAUUGGACAUCAUUUGCUGGCACCUUUGGGUACACAGCUCCAGGUAUGUAGUUAAGUUUCAAUAUCACCUUCUACAGUAGGUUAGUUUACAAAAUCACUUGAAAACAAAUAUAGCAUGACCAGCCUCUUUUGCAGAGUUGGCAUACACAAUGAAAGUGGAUGAAAAAUGUGAUGUUUAUAGCUUUGGAGUAUUAACAUUGGAAGUAAUGAUGGGAAAGCAUCCUGGCGAUUUCAUCUCAUCUCUGAUGUUUCUGCCUCCACCUCCUCAUCAUCACCAAUUGGUCACAAUACAGUCUUGAAGGAUGUCUUAGACCAGCGCCUCCCACCUCCUGAAAACGAGCUUGCGGACGGUGUGGCACAUGUUGCAAAACUGGCGUUUGCUUGCUUGCAGACCGAUCCCACUAUCGGCCAACAAUGCGACAGUUUCUACAGAGCUUACAACUCGAUGGCCUCCAUUGCCAAAGCUAUUCUCCACGAUGGAAUUGGAAGAUAUAAUGGUUCACAGAAAUGUUAUUGGCUGAAUUUUUACAGUAUACUUGGGCGUGUUGUGAAAAACAACUUGUUUGCAAAAUGUAAUAUUCAAUAAUCAAGUCAUCGCCAAUAAACCCGUGGCUCAGGUAGCAAUAGCGUCCCCCUCCCUUCAAGAGGUGUUAUUGUCUGUGUUAGAUAUUCCGUCCAAAGAGUCAUGUAAUUUAUUGCCUUCAUUUGCAUCAAUUGCCUUCCUACUACAUAUUUUUUUUGGAGAGUAAUAAACAAUCCAAAUGCCAACACAAAGACCGUACAAUAUUGAUGAACAAAAUUUCCACAAUCAAACCAAACCCGUCCUGGAAAAUCAAAUAACGUCAUUUGUCAUGUUGAAAUUCCAUAUUUAUUUUGCAAAUAAGUAAUACUCAUGAACAUAUCAGGUCUUCACCUACAUGUUCUUGCAAAUCACCAAAUCUCUUACUCAUGAAGAUUCAAGUCUUCAAGUAUUAUUUUGUAAACAAUUUACGAUGUACCCACACAUAAUUUUAAUAAAAACAAAUAUUUUCCACACUUUUAUCUUAAUAUUUUUCAGGCUAACUUGGUUGUAUAAUAAAUAUGCUAGAUGUUCAAUGAGAUUUAAUCCAUAUAAUAGGAGAUGGCCAUCCUCUAAUCUCAAAUCUCUACCCCCUCGACCUUUUCCAGGAUUUGAAUCUAAAAACCUCGUAUUAAAAAUUCAAAACUAUCCGUGGUGUACUUCCCAGCCCUGUGAUAAGGAAUGUUGCUUCUGUUCAAACACUCUGUUGUAGAAUUGUAGACAUAAUUUUCUCUCAAGGUUCAGGCUAAUUUUGUACCUGGAAGGCCAACGGGCCUUGGCAUCAAAACAUUUUGUAAUUUUCAACAGUUUUCAAGGGUUCAUGCGAUUAUGCUGAAUUAUAAGUGGGAUUUCCUGAAUUGAGAGAAGACCAAACCUACAGCCAGAAAAAGUCUAUGUUUAUCAAACAAAAACAGAGCGUUUCUGUAUCUUUCCCUCUAGGUUUCAAAAAAUCUAAUAGAUCUUGCCUUAUGGUAGCCUGCUUCAGUUCCUUACAAAACUUUUAUUAUCGGGUUAGCCAUACACUUUACAUAUUUCAAGCAAUUAACAUGAGCAAUCAAUGGUGUUGUGGAGAUUCCCAGGAAGUGGACAGGGUUGCAGCCUCUAAUUUCCACUUAAAAUUAGUGGAUUCAAUGCGCAGCUGAUUUUUCAAGCAAAGACUGAUUGGAAGGGUAACUUUCAAAUAGUUAAACGAAAUGAGGAAAAGGAGGCAGAGGAAGAGGAAGAUGAGAAAAGAAAUGAAAGUAAGAAAGAUGGGAAGUGUGUCAAAUAGAAGAGCUAAUAUUAGAAGGUGCAUUGGGUACGCCUGAGGAGAGACAACAAUGAAGCAGACAGCAGAGAGCAAAUUAAACAUAAAAAGAGGAAAAAGGGGGAUGGUCAUGACAUGGAUAUCGAGAAAGAAGAGAAAAUAAGCAAGAAGAAGAAAAUGAUUUUCAUAUUUAGAGGAGGGAUUGAGAAGGGAAAUCUGUUCUCUGUACUCUUGACAUCAUUGAUAAUAAUCUACAUGAGAUUUACUCCUGCACUUCAACGCAGCCACAUAAGCACAUGCCCAAACUGAAACAUUUCAUUUAGUUUUCGAGCACCGAGGCGAAGUCCAUUUCCAUGAAAAUGAUAGAGGAUGUACGUGUGCGCUUCUAAUUCAAAACAAAAGGAAAAUAUGUUGAAAAAUCAAACAUUUGAAAACUCACAAAAGAUGGAGCAGGCUGCUUCUCAAAGCAGAACGUGUUUUAUAACACUACAAGGCAAUCAUCCAAUAGCAAACAAAAAUCAAUUAAAGAUGGCAAUAGACCAAAACCUCGUUCAAAUAAAAUUGACAGAUGAAUCAUAUAGCAGUCAAGGGAAAAUAUAAUUGAUAAAAUAUAGGUGAUUCUCUGCUUCAAUUGUGUCAGUGACUAACUUCAGUUGAAGGUUUUAAAGAGGGCAUCUGGAUAUGGGGAUUACUCUUCCUAUAUGGCUACUUGCUGAGUUACUGGAAUAGUGGUGAGUUUCUUGACAGGAAACCACCCAGGAAAAUCAAAUAUAACAGAGACCAAACACAAAAUUUAGGGCAAUAGUAUGUAUCAGCAGGGAGAACCAAGCAUUUCCAGACAAAUGCAAAGUCUUUCGUUAUGGCAUUUGAUGCUUUUGUGGUCUCAAGCAUGAUCCACCUGGUGAUCCCAGAAGUUGUAAAGGCUUGUUGAAGAGACUUGCUUCACCUUCAAGUUUCAUUCUGACCAGCCAACUCAAAACUGUUGAUGUGAGCCAUCAGAGCAAUAAAAUUUCUUCAGCUUCUUUCUACAAUUUUAACAGCUCUUUUCCAUUUUUCUCAAGGUGUAAUUCCAGGAACAUAAGGGACAGCGGGCUUGGGCUUCUUUAUUUUUUCAACCAGCACAGCUUGAGUUGUUAGAACUAUCCCAGCAAUUGAGACAGCACUUUGAAGUGCACACCGAGAAACUCUACAAGGAUCU